ACACGGGCUCUCCUCUCUCUCCCUCGCCUCCCGAUCCCAACCGCCAGGAGGGGCCCCACCCCGCGCGACCUCGAUCCGGUGCCGCGCCGAUCUGGCGGCGGGUGCUGCGUCUUGCUCCGGUGGCGACGGGAGAAAGAGAGAUAGGGCGUGAGGGAGAUAAGAAAGAGAGGAAGAAAGGAGAAGGAGAAGGGGCACAUGGUGAGGGAGGCGGUCGCCGGCGGUGGUGGUUCCGGUGACCGGCCGGCGGGCAGGGAGACGAGCUCCUGUUGAGGCGACGGAGCUCGGUGCGGGAUGGUUCCUCCGGAUCGAGCCUUGGCUCUCCCGAGGCGUGCGGUUGCGGGCUUGGAUCGGGUUGAUCCUUCUCCCCUGCCCUCCCCCUCCAUGGCCAACAACACAAGAGAAGAGAUGGCUAUUGAUGAGGCCGAGCUUGAGCCUCUAGAAUUUGCUGAGAAAAUGCACACUCAACAGGAAAUUACAACAACAGUUGCGCAGGCAGUUGGAGAGUGCUGAUUUCGAUACAAGUGUGUCAAUCUUCACUCCGGAGCAGAUCCAAGGGAUUGUUGAGAAAUACUCCAGUUGACAUAUUUGAAGAGAUGAGAGAUUUACAUCGCAUCCGUCUUCUCCCUCUACUAUAGCCGAUGGUUGUAUUCCACCCAUACACACGAAGCAUAUAAUUGCCAUCUAGCGUUACUUCAUGUAAUCUGCAGUUUUCUCAGUGAAAGACUAUAAGUGUACUAAUUACAUUGGCAGUGGCACCUGUUGGAACCGUCCACCUGGCUCUGUCGAUUACCACCCAAGCUGUUGGCCUCCUUGUGGUGGUGGUCUUCACCCUCUUUCAUCACCAUGAAGCAGAUCAUCGUUGUGACGUUGUCCAGCACUGGCGAGAAGGGUGGCCCGCGUCGAGACGGCCAAGGUUGGGUAGUCUCCAGGUCAGGCUCGCUGGAAUGGUGACUGGCAAGAUGGAGAGGAAUACAGACGUGUCCUUCACCCUCGACAAUGACUAGCUGCAUCAAUUUUUCAUUAGAUGGUAUAAUGGACUAGACUGGUUACUGUUCUUUUAGCCAGCGUCAACAAAGAGAAGAGAGGCGUGUGAUGCUUACACUGUGGAGAGCCUGCCAUCUAUGAAAUGACAUCAUCCAUGGGCGAUGCUAAAAGUUCUAUUCAAAGCUGGGUUGAGUUCUUGGUUAAUUAUGUGAAGAUGAUUAAUGGAGACUACAAAAGGAUGAUCUCAAGAAAUCGUUGCAGGCAUAUUUCUGCAAUCUGUAAUUCCUUCGCUAAACAUAGCAAUUGGGUAGCUCAUGAUCUUGCUUCCCUUGCUAGAGUGUCAGAUACUUCUGAAACCUGGGUGGGCAGUAUGGUGUGUAUGCAAAUGACUUUGUUAAGUAAUCCAGUAUUUAUAUAUAAGCAUAGGUUCUGUCGAAAAAAGUAUUGGCAGGAACUUACAACCAUUAACGCACAUUAUCUGUUGGUUAAGUACUCAAAGGAGUAUGUCGAGAUUUAGAAGUUGUUUUA
Molecule: long non-coding RNA, 1512 nt
Organism: Triticum aestivum (bread wheat)
Lineage: Eukaryota; Viridiplantae; Streptophyta; Magnoliopsida; Poales; Poaceae
Exons: 5
Source: RefSeq, a predicted model, not a curated record